AACAAAUAGAAAAAUUCUUUUUUUAAUAAAAUUUAAAAAAAAAAUUAAACUAUAUUCAUUAAAAAUAAAGGUGAAAUUUAUUUUUAAAAUUAAAUUAAUAUAUAAUUAAAAUUCUUGAAUUAAACUAGGAUUAGAUACCCUAUUAUUUAAGAGCUAUAUAUUGUAAGUAAAUAAUUAUUACGAAAGCAAAAAAUUAUGGCGGUAUUUUAAGCUUUUCAGAGGAACUUGCUCUUUAAUGGAUAGAACACCUAAAUCUUACUUAAAUUUGCUAAAUCAAUUUGUAUACCACUAUAAAAUUAAUUAUUUACUUUAAUUAAUAAAGUUUAUAAAUUUUAGAGUAAAUUAAGUCAAGGUGCAGUAAAAAUUUAAGAAUGAAGUGAGUUACAUUUCUUUUAAGAGUACUACAAAUUUAAAAAUAAUAUUAGGAUUUGAAAGUAAAAUUAAAAUAGAAUGUUAAUUUGAAUAAAGCUCUAAAAUAU
Molecule: ribosomal RNA, 479 nt
Filed under: Rhipicephalus bursa
Lineage: Eukaryota; Metazoa; Arthropoda; Arachnida; Ixodida; Ixodidae
Description: partial small subunit ribosomal RNA
Source: RNAcentral